CCUACGGGUGACAGCAGUAGGGAAUAUUGCUCAAUGGGGGAAACCCUGACGCAGCAACGCCGCGUGGAGGAUGAAGGUCUUAGGAUUGUAAACCCCUUUUGUGAGGGAAGAUAAUGACGGUUUCCAACGAUUAAGCACCUGCGAACUCCGUGCCAGCAGCCGCGGUAAUACGGAGGGUGCACGCGUUACUCGGAAUGACUGGGCGUAAAGUGUGCGCAGGCGGGCUUGUAAGACAGAUGUGAAAUCCUGUAGCUUAACGAGAGAACUGCAUUUGAAACUAUGAGUCUAGAGUGUGUGAGAGGUAGGUGGAAUUCUAGGUGUAGGAGUAAAAUCCGUAGAUAUCAAGAGGAAUACUCAUGGCGAAGGCGACCUACUGGAACAUAACUGACGCUCAUGCACGAAAGCGUGGGGAGCAAACAGGAUUAGAUACCCUAGUAGUC
Molecule: ribosomal RNA, 440 nt
Filed under: uncultured bacterium
Lineage: Bacteria
Description: partial 16S ribosomal RNA
Rfam family: Bacterial small subunit ribosomal RNA
Source: RNAcentral